AUGAGUCUUUUGUGCUGGAAUUGUCACGGGAUUGGCAUCGGCCCGACAAUUCAAGAGCUUCACAAACUCGCACAAAAGUUUGCCCCUUGAGUAUUUUGUAUUGUAGAAACCCAAAUUAGUGGUGCUAGAGCUGAAAAUUUAAAGAGUACUCUAGGUUUUGAAAAUUCUUUUGUUGUUGGCUCCUCCAGUAUGAGCGGAGGUUUGGCUUUGUUUUGGAAUAAUGAAAUAAAGAUACAAAAUUUGGGUUACUCAUGUUGUCAUAUUGACGUGAAAGUGAGUGAUUUAGGUGGUGAUCCUUCGAGACUCACCUACUUCUAUGGGGAGGCAUGA
RNAcentral lists this ribosomal RNA (330 nucleotides) under Triticum aestivum (bread wheat). Its description in RNAcentral is "partial small subunit ribosomal RNA". The record is from RNAcentral. Lineage: Eukaryota; Viridiplantae; Streptophyta; Magnoliopsida; Poales; Poaceae.